UACGGAGGGUGCGAGCGUUAAUCGGAAUUACUGGGCGUAAAGGGCGCGUAGGCGGUGAAGUAAGUCGGGUGUGAAAGCCCCGGGCUCAACCCGGGAACUGCAUCCGAUACUGCUUCGCUAGAGUAUGGUAGAGGGAAGCGGAAUUCCGGGUGUAGCGGUGAAAUGCGUAGAUAUCCGGAGGAACACCAGUGGCGAAGGCGGCUUCCUGGACCAAUACUGACGCUGAGGCGCGAAAGCGUGGGGAUCAAACAGG
This 253-nucleotide ribosomal RNA is filed under the name uncultured prokaryote. RNAcentral's name for it is "partial 16S ribosomal RNA". It matches the Rfam family "Bacterial small subunit ribosomal RNA", at positions 524 to 776 of the family's 1533-position model. The record is from RNAcentral.